This 95-nucleotide transfer RNA is filed under the name Habropoda laboriosa. It matches the Rfam family "tRNA". From Rfam's summary of the family: Transfer RNA (tRNA) molecules are approximately 80 nucleotides in length. Their secondary structure includes four short double-helical elements and three loops (D, anti-codon, and T loops). Lineage: Eukaryota; Metazoa; Arthropoda; Insecta; Hymenoptera; Apidae. The record is from Rfam by way of RNAcentral.
CCUUCGAUAGCUCAGUUGGUAGAGCGGUGGACUGUAGUUGGUUGAUUCUUGGAAGAGACAUCCAUAGGUCGCUGGUUCGAAUCCGGCUCGAAGGA